Long non-coding RNA from Liolophura sinensis, 925 nucleotides. RefSeq lists it as uncharacterized. The record is from RefSeq and is a predicted model, not a curated record. NCBI's taxonomy places the organism in Eukaryota, Metazoa, Mollusca, Polyplacophora, Chitonida, Chitonidae. The transcript has 4 exons.
CAGCUUCAGGACAGUUUGCUUGUGUUGUUUUAAGGCAAACGCGAGCAUAGUAUGUCUGGCUUUUCUGUGCCCCGUCUUGGUGAAGAUAUGGCUGACAUCAAUGAAACUAUUAAUUUCAAUUUAACGAGUGCUGUCCGUCCACAUGUGAUCGAGGAGCUGUUCUGGUCUGCGGUAGGCAUAUGCUCGACAGCAGUUUUGAUGUCUAUUCUUGGAUGUGCCGUUUACUUCUGUGUGGGUCGAAAAAGAAACAGAAGUUCGAGAAACUGGAAAGGUUCGGUAAGAAAAAUGCCUCCAGAUUCAGGAAGACAACUUCAUCGUCCUUCCAAACGCUCCAGUAGAUCUUCCAAAAAAGAUACUUCGGAAGCACAUAAAGGGAAGAAUGUCACUUUCACCAUUUUUCAUGGACGAGAACGCAGUCCUAGUUCAUCUAGGAUCUGUAAGACACCACAGGGAAAUCAAAGCGUGAAAGAAAAUGUGUGUGCUAAGCACGAAUGUGAUUGUAAUCGCACAUCUGCAGACGGCCCCAAGUUUGGAGCGACUGCGAUACCUGAUGGAGCUUAUCUUGGAAUGGAGAUAAACUGCAAUCCCACAUGUACAGAAUUGAGAGAAACUCACAUGGAUUUGGAGAAGAAAGCUUUGCACUUGUGGAAACAGACAAAUAGCGCCCAUGAAAUAAACGUACCGAUGUAUAUUAAUAAUGACAACAGGAGAGAAGUGAAAGUGUGUGACGUCGGUGAAGGUGACAACGUUAGAGUUCCGAAAGCUUAUAAUUAUAUGGUCAUGGGGAUUGUAUGUGAAAACAUGACUCACAAAUGAAUGUUCACAGAGGUUUUUUAAAGACCUCUGUGGACAUUCCUAUUCAUAUUCCCUGAAAAUGACAUGAAGUUUGAAACUGCAGGUGGAAUAUAGCAGAAUGUAGACAGUU